This 329-nucleotide ribosomal RNA is filed under the name uncultured eukaryote. RNAcentral describes it as "partial 18S ribosomal RNA". It matches the Rfam family "Eukaryotic small subunit ribosomal RNA", at positions 1470 to 1796 of the family's 1831-position model. The record is from RNAcentral.
CCCUUAGAUGUUCUGGGCCGCACGCGCGCUACACUGAUGCAUUCAACGAGUCUAAAACCUGGUCUGAUAGGGCUGGGUAAUCUUUUGAAAGUGCAUCGUGAUUGGGAUAGAUGAUUGCAAUUCUUCAUCUUCAACGAGGAAUGCCUAGUAAACGCAAGUCAUCAGCUUGCAUUGAUUACGUCCCUGCCCUUUGUACACACCGCCCGUCGCACCUACUGAUUGAAUGACUCGGUGAAAAAUCGGGACUGCGAGAACAAUCGAUUAAUUUCGAAUGUACUUGUGGGAACUUUUUUUAACCUCGCCAUUUAGAAGAAGGUGAAGUCGUAACA